Drosophila virilis is the source of this 551-nucleotide non-coding RNA. The record is from RefSeq and is a predicted model, not a curated record. Lineage: Eukaryota; Metazoa; Arthropoda; Insecta; Diptera; Drosophilidae.
AAGUUAUCAUACCAGGUCUGCGAAUCGAGAUAACAAUUUAAAUGAAUUAUUAUUAUUUUUAUUAGUUUUGUUUUUUAAACAGAAAUUGGGCAAUACGGAAACAAAACGCUGUCUGAAUGGCCGCUUAUCAAUACGAGAUGUUCUACAAUCAACCCACCAGUUGUAUAUAUAGCGUCGAUAAUCGCGCCUUGAGCCCAAUACAGAGCAGCGGUUGUCAAGCGUGCGAGAUUUGGACUUGGACUCGCAGUCGCCUGAUAACUGACAGAGCAAACGAGCGAGUUAAAUAUUGACUAGGCUCUGAGAAAUCAUAAGAUGCUAUCUCGACUAAAACACGAAAAAAGAAACUAUUUUAAGAGAAAAGCAAGUUCACAACAUGAUCAGAGGUUACAGAGCUAAAUAUUUCUAGAUUUCUAGUUGGGAAGAUUUCAAAUCCUGAUUUGUUAGUAAAAUACAGAAAUAAUAUUCCACAACCCUAAUCUAAUCAAAGCUUGACCCUAAUCAGUUUUUAAAUUAGAAUAAACUAAACAGUAAUUAAAAGUCUGUAACAGUAA